GACGUAGGGGACGAGCGUUGUCCGGAUUUACUGGGCGUAAAGAGCGCGCAGGCGGUCGAUCAAGUCGAGUGUGAAAGCCCCCGGCUCAACUGGGGAGGGUCAUUCGAUACUGAUCGACUCGAAGGCAGGAGAGGGUAGUGGAAUUCCCGGUGUAGUGGUGAAAUGCGUAGAUAUCGGGAGGAACACCAGUGGCGAAGGCGACUACCUGGCCUGUUCUUGACGCUGAGGCGCGAAAGCUAGGGGAGCAAACGGG
This 253-nucleotide ribosomal RNA is filed under the name uncultured bacterium. RNAcentral describes it as "partial 16S ribosomal RNA". It matches the Rfam family "Bacterial small subunit ribosomal RNA", at positions 524 to 776 of the family's 1533-position model. The record is from RNAcentral.